CAACAGGGACGAAAAUAACUGAAUCUGAGCGUCAGAAUCUUCUCGUCUACCUAAAGCAUGAUCUCAGUAGUUCUGAGA
Phyllostomus discolor (pale spear-nosed bat) is the source of this 78-nucleotide small nucleolar RNA. RefSeq annotates it as small nucleolar RNA U2-19. The record is from RefSeq and is a predicted model, not a curated record. Lineage: Eukaryota; Metazoa; Chordata; Mammalia; Chiroptera; Phyllostomidae. The transcript has a single exon.